GGAUUAGAUACCCUGGUAGUCCUAGCCGUAAACGAUGAGCACUAGGUAGGGGGGAUUCUAACGUCUUCCCUGCUGCAGCUAAUGUGUUAAGUGCUCCGCCUGGGGAGUAUGGUCGCAAGGCUAAAACUCAAAGGAAUUGACGGGGGCUCACACAAGCGGUGGAGCAUGUGGUUUAAUUCGAAACAACGCGCAGAACCUUACCUGGGUUUGACAUGCUAGGAUUAACCCUGUGAAAGCAGGGCUACGCGGGUAACCGUGGAACUAGCACAGGUGCUGCAUGGCUGUCGUCAGCUCGUGUUG
This 300-nucleotide ribosomal RNA is filed under the name uncultured bacterium. Its description in RNAcentral is "bacterial SSU rRNA". It matches the Rfam family "Bacterial small subunit ribosomal RNA", at positions 775 to 1067 of the family's 1533-position model. The record is from RNAcentral.